AAAUAUAUUUAACGGCCGCGGUAUUUUGACCGUGCAAAGGUAGCAUAAUCAUUAGUCUUUUAAUAGGAGGCUGGUAUGAAAGGUUUAACGAAACAUAAACUGUCUUAUUUAUAAAUUUAUAAUUUAACUUUUAAGUCAAAAGGCUUAAAUUUUUUUGGAGGACGAGAAGACCCUAUAGAGCUUUACAUUAUUUUAUUUUUAAUAUUUAUUUGUUAUAUAAUUUAAUAUUAAUUUUAAUAUUGUUUUGUUGGGGUGACAAUAAAUACAUGAUUAACUUUUAUUAUUUAAUUUACAUUAAUUUAUGAAUUUUUGGAUCCAAUAUUAUUGAUCAUUAGAUUAAGUUACCUUAGGGAUAACAGCGUAA
This 364-nucleotide ribosomal RNA is filed under the name Odonata sp. 1 MG-2011. RNAcentral's name for it is "partial 16S ribosomal RNA". Lineage: Eukaryota; Metazoa; Arthropoda; Insecta; Odonata. The record is from RNAcentral.